UACGGGGGGGGCAAGCGUUGUUCGGAAUUACUGGGCGUAAAGGGUUCGUAGGUGGCCAACUAAGUCAUACGUGAAAUCCCUCAGCUCAACUGAGGAACUGCCUUUGAAACUGUCUGGCUUGAGGCCGGGAGGGGGUAGCGGAAUUCCCAGUGUAGCGGUGAAAUGCGUAGAUAUUGGGAGGAACACCAGUGGCGAAGGCGGCUACCUGGACCGGUUCUGACGCUGAUGCGCGAAAGCGUGGGUAGCAAACAGG
This 253-nucleotide ribosomal RNA is filed under the name uncultured bacterium. Its description in RNAcentral is "partial 16S ribosomal RNA". It matches the Rfam family "Bacterial small subunit ribosomal RNA", at positions 524 to 776 of the family's 1533-position model. The record is from RNAcentral.